RNAcentral lists this ribosomal RNA (376 nucleotides) under uncultured bacterium. RNAcentral's name for it is "bacterial SSU rRNA". It matches the Rfam family "Bacterial small subunit ribosomal RNA", at positions 521 to 896 of the family's 1533-position model. The record is from RNAcentral.
UAAGACGAACCGUGCGAACGUUGUUCGGAAUCACUGGGCUUAAAGGGCGCGUAGGCGGGCAAGCAAGUCUGGGGUGAAAUCUUUCGGCUUAACCGGAAAAGUGCCUUGGAUACUGCAUGUCUCGAGGGAGGUAGGGGCAGAUGGAACUUCCGGUGGAGCGGUGAAAUGCGUUGAUAUCGGAAGGAACGCCGGUGGCGAAAGCGAUCUGCUGGACCUCUUCUGACGCUGAGGCGCGAAAGCUAGGGGAGCAAACGGGAUUAGAUACCCCGGUAGUCCUAGCCCUAAACGAUGGGUACUAGGUAGCGGACUUAACAUGGGUUCGCUGCCGAAGCAAAAGUGUUAAGUACCCCGCCUGGGGAGUAUGGUCGCAAGGCUG